GAGGAAUAUUGCGCAAUGGGGGAAACCCUGACGCAGCGACGCCGUGUGAGCGAUGAAGGCCUUCGGGUCGUAAAGCUCUGUCAGAGGGAAAGAAAGGGUCGGAGGAAUAAUACCCUCCGGCAUUGACGGUACCCUCAGAGGAAGCACCGGCUAACUCCGUGCCAGCAGCCGCGGUAAUACGGAGGGUGCAAGUGUUAUUCGGAAUCACUGGGCGUAAAGAGCACGUAGGCGGAUUGGUAAGUCAGGUGUGAAAUCCCGGAGCUCAACUCCGGAACUGCAUUUGAUACUGCUAGUCUUGAGUGAGGUAGAGGGGGGUGGAAUUCCCGGUGUAGAGGUGAAAUUCGUAGAUAUCGGGAGGAACACCAGAGGCGAAGGCGACCCCCUGGGCCUCUACUGACGCUGAGGUGCGAAAGCGUGGGGAGCAAAC
RNAcentral lists this ribosomal RNA (427 nucleotides) under uncultured bacterium. RNAcentral describes it as "bacterial SSU rRNA". It matches the Rfam family "Bacterial small subunit ribosomal RNA", at positions 356 to 773 of the family's 1533-position model. The record is from RNAcentral.